UACGAAGGGGGGCUAGCGUUGCUCGGAAUCACUGGGCGUAAAGGGUGCGUAGGCGGGUUUUUAAGUCAGAGGUGAAAUCCUGGAGCUCAACUCCAGAACUGCCUUUGAUACUGAAAGUCUUGAGUAUGGGAGAGGUGAGUGGAACUGCGAGUGUAGAGGUGAAAUUCGUAGAUAUUCGCAAGAACACCAGUGGCGAAGGCGGCUCACUGGCCCAUAACUGACGCUGAGGCACGAAAGCGUGGGGAGCAAACAGG
Molecule: ribosomal RNA, 254 nt
Filed under: uncultured bacterium
Lineage: Bacteria
Description: partial 16S ribosomal RNA
Rfam family: Bacterial small subunit ribosomal RNA
Source: RNAcentral